This is a long non-coding RNA of Mustela erminea (ermine), 3229 nucleotides long. RefSeq lists it as uncharacterized. The transcript is spliced from 6 exons. Lineage: Eukaryota; Metazoa; Chordata; Mammalia; Carnivora; Mustelidae. The record is from RefSeq and is a predicted model, not a curated record.
ACACGUCACUUCCGGUAGUGACUGAGCCCCGCGGCGCGCGCCGGCUCCGCCAGGAGCGUGGGGUUGCCACGGCAACCAGCGCGGGCUGCCCUAGGGAUCCUCCGGAGUAGGAAGCUUCCCGCGCCAGCUGCGCUCCGCGUUGCGAUAACAUUUAUUUAUAACUGCUGAUAGACUUUGGUGUUCUCGACAGUUCCAUAUCAGGAGUGAAUUAGAGGAGAGAAGCAGUGUGGUGCAGUGGCAUCUUCACCAGGAGUAGAUUCCAUCUCAAGAAACCACUUUGCUCAUCCAAAGGAUGAGCACUUCAUCCAUUGAAGUUUUAUCACGAGAUCACAGCAAUUCAGUCUCACCUUCAGGCUCCACUUCUAAUCCUGGUUCUCUUGCAAUUUCCACCACAUCUGCAGUUACUUCCUCCAGUGAAGUCAUGAGCCCCUCGAAGUAAUCUGUGAAGGUAUUUUAUCUCCCAGCCUUCUAAGAUGGUAACCCAACUGGUGUCUAGAAGACAAUUGCCUUUGAGGUUUGUUGACUUUCAUGAGAUGAAGCAAUUUCAAGUGUGACUCAUUUUAUCGCUUGGCUCGAUCUCACGACCCUGGGAUCAGGACCAGAGCUGAAACCCAGAGUCUGACGCUUAACUGACUGUGCCACCCAGGUGCCCCAGAAUCAACCGUCUUCUGUGGUACAUAGUUACGUGCCUGCAUGGACUAAAGAGCUAUGCCAGUCUCCUUAUUAGGACUUUUAAUAAAUUCGCUUGUUUUCAGCAAAGGCACUUGCAAACCCAGUAUCUUCAGAAGCCCAUGCUUCCUUUACUGAUGGAUAUGUUCUGAGUCUCUGUGGCAUGACUCAAUUUGCAUAUUGUUGGGAUUUUUCUUCUUCAGGUCAUUAACAUAACAGAGAAAGCUAAAGCCUGUAUCAUUUACAGCUAGGUUAUCAGCUUUCCAUCUUCCACUGUUUUGUAGACCAUAAUUGUCUGCUGUCAUCACCUCUUCCUUUUGUGGGCUUAAGCACACACAAAAAAUUUUUUGUUAUUUUAGUGGAAUUUCAGGAAGGAGCAAAGAGAAAUAUGUUUUUUGUUUUGUUUUGUUUUUCUAUCUGGUAUAAUUAACAGGAAGACCUGUCAUUACCUGAGCUUUCUUUCUAUUGAAGACUAACUUCCUACGUGUGAGGAAAUAGGUGCUCUGUGUAAUCAUUUGGCACAGACUCCUGACCAACACUAAAACACCUGUAUAUUAGGAAAGGAGAAUUUUUAAAAGAUGGGUUUUUUGUUUGUUUAUUUUGUUUGUUUGCUUAAUUAAAAGGAUGAAAUUUUUUUCUUAGAUAUCGACUUUUUUCUAUAAGUGAGCUUUUUUAAUGUUGUGUUUCUCAUUCUUGUACUGCUUUUUCUUUAUAUCCAGCUGACGUUUGGGUAAAAUGGGCAGAGGAAAAAUAUUCUGCUCAUAGAAUACUUUUACAUUCCACAUGCAUUCGUAACAAGAUAAAACUUUUAUUCUAUUUCAAGACCAUGGAUAGGAGAAAUAGCCUCCCCCGUUUUCUCUUAUAAUUUGUUUGAAAUACAAAUAGAGAAACUAUUGACAUGUUUAGAAGGGCUUUUUAAAACAUAGGUUCAACCUUAAUUUUCAUCUUCGAGAAAAAAGUCACUAAGUCUAAUUGUGCACUAGAAGAGUCUGGUGGGACCACUGUCAACUCACAGGGGCUAUAUGACAUAUUUAAAACUUUCAAGGGAAACACAUUUAUUAGCCACUUAAUGAAAUACUAGCCUACAACUUCGGACUUGGAUUGUGCUACAUUGCUUUUAUAGCAGACAGAUCUUUGUGAGGCUGAGUGCUCAGUGGUUACUAUGGUAAAAAGUAGACAGCACAUGAAAAUCAACGUGGAACAGGAAAUGAGGGCACCGUUCCUAAUCUGAUUCCAAAGUUUGAGUGUACAGGGCCUAUAUUAGUCAGGGUUCUCCAGAGAAACAGAACCAGUAGAUACAAAAAUACACACACACAGACACACAGAUACAGGGAUAUAGAGAAAGAGAUAUAUCACGAGGGGUUGGCUCAUGUGAUUAUGGAGGCUGAGAAGUUCUGUGAUCUACCUGUCUGUUAACUGGAAGCCCAGCAAAGCUGGUGUUGUAGGUUGAAAACAAACCCAAAGGCCUGAGAAUGAGGAGAGCUGAUGGUGUGAAUCACACUUUGAAUCUGAAGUCCCAAGAACCGGAAGUGCUGAUGUUUGAAGACGGGAGAAGAGAGAUAUCUCAGUUCAGGUAGAGAACAGAGAGCAAAUUUGCCCUUCCUGUGCCUUUUUGUUCUACUCAGGCCCUCAACAGAUUGCAUGAUGCCCACCUGAGUUUGGGAGGGCAAUCUCCUUUAUUCAGUCUACAGAUUCAAAUGAUAAUCUCUUCCAGAAAUACUGUCAGAGACACAUCCAGAAUCAAUGUGUUACCAGCUCUCUGGGCAUCCCUUAGCUCUGUCAAGCUGACACAGAAGUUAAUCAAUACAGUGCCCAACAGGUGCAUGGACCUCACUGGUUAAGUGUAGUGUUGAUAAAAUGUGUCCAAAAUUAUUUGGUAAUGUUUCUUCUAAGACUUGGAGCCUAAUUUUUUCUCAUCUUGAGUAUGAGCUGAACUCAGUAACUAGCUUCUAAAAAGUCAAUAUGGCAGACGUGACUGUGUGGCUUCCAAGUCUAUUUCAUAAAACGCAUUGCAAGUUCUCCCUUGGAAUGUUCAUUUCCAAGGAAGCCAGCUGCCAUGUUGUAAAGACAAUCAGGAAGCCCUAUGGAGGUGCCCAUGUGACAAGGAACUGAGCCUGUUUUCCAUCAGCCGACAGGAAACUGAAGCUUUCUGCCCAUAGUCACAUGAAUGAGCCAUCUUGGGAGUGGGCCUUUCAGCCCUACUUGAUGUCCUGACUACAACCUCAGGAGAGAUUCUGAGGCACAAACACCCAGUCAAGCCCAUCCCAAAUUCCUGGUCCACAGAAAAGAUGAAAUGAUAAAUACAAUUGACUCUUGAACAACUCAGGUUCGAAGAGCAUGGGUCCACUUGUACAUGGGAUUUUUUCCAUAGAGCACAACACUGUGAAUUUAUUUUCUCUUCCUUAUCACUUUUCUUUUCUUUUCUUUUAAAGUAAGUGCCAGCCCAGCAUGAAGUCCAGUGUAGGGCUUAAACUCAAAACCUUGAGAUCGAGACCUGAACUGAGAUCAAGAGUCAGACACUUAACUGAUUGAGCCACCCAAGGCACCUCCACUUAUGACU